RNAcentral lists this ribosomal RNA (449 nucleotides) under uncultured bacterium. Its description in RNAcentral is "partial 16S ribosomal RNA". It matches the Rfam family "Bacterial small subunit ribosomal RNA", at positions 329 to 793 of the family's 1533-position model. The record is from RNAcentral.
GGCCAGACUCCUACGGGAGGCAGCAGUAGGGAAUAUUGCUCAAUGGGGGAAACCCUGAAGCAGCAACGCCGCGUGAAGGAAGAAGGCUUUCGGGUUGUAAACUUCUUUUGACAGGGAAGAGUAGAAGACGGUACCUGUCGAAUAAGCCACGGCUAACUACGUGCCAGCAGCCGCGGUAAUACGUAGGUGGCAAGCGUUGUCCGGAUUUACUGGGUGUAAAGGGCGUGUAGCCGGGUUGACAAGUCAGAUGUGAAAUCCCGCGGCUCAACCGCGGAACUGCAUUUGAAACUGUCAGUCUUGAGUACCGGAGAGGUCAUCGGAAUUCCUUGUGUAGCGGUGAAAUGCGUAGAUAUAAGGAAGAACACCAGUGGCGAAGGCGGAUGACUGGACGGCAACUGACGGUGAGGCGCGAAAGCGUGGGGAGCAAACAGGAUUAGAUACCCUAGUAA